This 484-nucleotide ribosomal RNA is filed under the name uncultured bacterium. RNAcentral's name for it is "partial 16S ribosomal RNA". It matches the Rfam family "Bacterial small subunit ribosomal RNA", at positions 30 to 507 of the family's 1533-position model. The record is from RNAcentral.
AUUGAACGCUGGCGGCAGGCCUAACACAUGCAAGUCGAGCGGAUGAAGGGAGCUUGCUCCUGGAUUCAGCGGCGGACGGGUGAGUAAUGCCUAGGAAUCUGCCUGGUAGUGGGGGAUAACGUCCGGAAACGGGCGCUAAUACCGCAUACGUCCUGAGGGAGAAAGUGGGGGAUCUUCGGACCUCACGCUAUCAGAUGAGCCUAGGUCGGAUUAGCUAGUUGGUGGGGUAAAGGCCUACCAAGGCGACGAUCCGUAACUGGUCUGAGAGGAUGAUCAGUCACACUGGAACUGAGACACGGUCCAGACUCCUACGGGAGGCAGCAGUGGGGAACAUUGGACAAUGGGCGAAAGCCUGAUCCAGCCAUGCCGCGUGUGUGAAGAAGGUCUUCGGAUUGUAAAGCACUUUAAGUUGGGAGGAAGGGCAGUAAGUUAAUACCUUGCUGUUUUGACGGUACCAACAGAAUAAGCACCGGCUAACUUCGUG